GGCAGGAAGGCACUGUGCUAGCACAGCGAACACAUUGCUCUGCAGAGAAUCUGCUCUCCUCCAGUCGGAUGGAAUCCCUCUGUUGCACAUCCCAGGGCCAGUUUCCAGAUUAAAGAAUUCUGAAUGUGCUCUAAAUUCUCACUGCAGAUGGGACAAUGGUAACAAUCCUUUUGCUAAACAAAAUGCAAAAGAUACAUUCUACCCCCUGCCAGGUCACAACAGUAACUAUCAGAUCCACUACACCAAGAUUUCUGAAGACAAUGGCAUCUCCACCCAAGCGCGUUGUAAAUAAAUUCCGAAUAGAACCUGUCAUCACCCUGAAGGAAUUCUAACUUCACACUGUUGGGGAAAUUUACCAAGAUGGCUUCAGAAUAGACUAACUUUACACAGCACAUU
Molecule: long non-coding RNA, 396 nt
Organism: Homo sapiens (human)
Lineage: Eukaryota; Metazoa; Chordata; Mammalia; Primates; Hominidae
Exons: 2
Source: RefSeq, a predicted model, not a curated record